CGACCUCAGAGUAGGUGAGAUUACCCGCUGAAUUUAAGCAUAUUAUUAAGCGGAGGAAAAGAAACUAACUAGGAUUCCCUUAGUAGCGGCGAGCGAACAGGGAUAAGCCCAGCACUGAACCCCGUGGCUGAUAAACAGACACUUGGGGAAUGUAGUGUUUAGGAAGAUUCAAUAUAAACCUAUUGUUAUAUAAUACAUCCAAGUCCAUCUUGAAUGGGGCCAUAUACCCAUAGAGGGUGCCAGGCCCGUAGUGAUUAUUAUUGAUGAUAGGUGAAUCUUUCCUUAGAGUCGGGUUGCUUGAGAGUGCAGCUCUAAGUGGGUGGUAAACUCCAUCUAAGGCUAAAUAUUACCACGAGACCGAUAGCGAACAAGUACCGUGAGGGAAAGUUGAAAAGAACUUUGAAGAGAGAGUUAAAGAGUACGUGAAACCGUUCAGGGGUAAACCUGCGAAACUCGAAUGAACGAACGGAGAGAUUCAUCGUCAUUCCUCGGCGUACGUGCGUCUCGCUCGAUGUGAUCGGCCCUCGGGUCGUGUCGCACGGCGUGCGUCCGUCGACGUCCGGGGACGGCGUGCACUUCUCUCUUAGUAAUGCAUCGCGAACCGUUCGAUGUCGGUCUAAGCGCCGUUCGGGAGCCCAGCUGUCCCCCUUCGGGGGUUGGCGACUGGACCGUGACGGACGCCGACCGGACGUCGGACGGUAUAUAUUAUGAAUCGCGCACGCGUCUUCGGCGCGUCCGGCCCGACGCAAGGCGUACGUCGUCAUCGAGGUCCUGGCUAUGUGCGGACUUGGGUGCGGCGCGCCUGAUCGUCGCAGACGUGCUGUCUCGGACUGUGCGCGUCUCUGUCUGCGAUGAUACAGUGUCGGGCACUCGCAGGACCCGUCUUGAAACACGGACCAAGGAGUCUAGCAUGUGUGCGAGUCAUUGAGAUACAUAUAAACUGAAAGGCGUAACGAAAGUGAAGGCGUGCGCUUGUCGCGCGCUCAGGGAGGAUGGAGCUUCGAUCUAGGUCGUACUCUCGCACUCCCGAGGCGUCUCGUUUCCAAUCUGUGAAUGUAGGCGCGCUCUGAGCAUAAAUGCUGGGACCCGAAAGAUGGUGAACUAUGCCUGGUCAGGUCGAAGUCAGGUGAAACCCUGAUGGAGGACCGUAGCGAUUCUGACGUGCAAAUCGAUCGUCGGAACUGGGUAUAGGGGCGAAAGACUAAUCGAACCAUCUAGUAGCUGGUUCCGUCCGAAGUUUCCCUCAGGAUAGCUGGCGUCGAUUUGAACAGUCUCAUCCGGUAAAGCGAAUGAUUAGAGGCAUUGGGGCCGAAACGACCUCAACCUAUUCUCAAACUUUAAAUGGGUGAGUACUCCGGCUUACUCGAACGAUGAAGCCGGAGAUCUGAUGACGGUGCCAAGUGGGCCAAUUUUGGUAAGCAGAACUGGCGCUGUGGGAUGAACCAAACGUAGUGUUAAGGCGCCUAAAAAACGCUCAUGGGACACCAUGAAAGGCGUUGGUCGCUCAUGACAGCAGGACGGUGGCCAUGGAAGUCGGAAUCCGCUAAGGAGUGUGUAACGACUCACCUGCCGAAGCAACCAGCCCUGAAAAUGGAUGGCGCUUAAGCGUUUUGCCUAUACACUACCGUUACGGGCAUGUGAGACGUCGUUUACGCGAUGUCAUUAUGCUGUAACGAGUAGGACGUGCGCGGCGGAGAGCGCAGAAGGGUCUGGGCGUGAGCCCGCUUGGAGCCUCCGUCGGUGCAGAUCUUGGUGGUAGUAGCAAAUACUCCAGCGAGGCCCUGGAGGACUGACGUGGAGAAGGGUUUCGCGUGAACAGUAGUUGCUCGCGAGUCAGUCGAUCCUAAGCUCAAGGAGAGAUCUUAUGUCGAUGUGGCGUGUUUAUUAUAUAUUAUAAAUAACGCCCUUUGAGCGAAAGGGAAUCCGGUUCCUAUUCCGGAACCCGGCAGCGGAACCGUUUCAAUAAUCGUUCCCUCGUUUCAAAGCGAGUGUUCGACGGGGUAACCCAAAGUGGCCUGAAGACGCCGCCGAGAGGUCCGGGAAGAGUUUUCUUUUCUGCCUGAGCGUUCGAGUUCCAUGGAAUCCUAUAGAAGGGAGAUAUGGUUCGGAACGCGAAGAGCACCGCAUUUGCGGCGGUGUCCGGAUACUCUCUGCGGACCUUGAAAAUUCAGGUGAGGGAUGUACGUGGAGAUGUCGCGCCGGUUCGUACCCAUAUCCGCAGCAGGUCUCCAAGGUGAAGAGCCUCUAGUCGAUAGAAUAAUGUAGGUAAGGGAAGUCGGCAAAUUGGAUCCGUAACUUCGGAAUAAGGAUUGGCUCUGAGGACCGGGGCGUGUCGGGUUUGGACGGGAAGCGGAUGCGGCCGGUGCCGGGCCUGGUCGAUGCUCUUGCGUCUCUCGAGGUGUGAGGGCUGAAUCCGGACCCGCGUUCCGGCCUUCCGCGGAUCUUCCUAGCCGUAAGGCCGUGUCGGUUUCGUCUCGUGCGCGAUCGGCGCGGUUCUGUACGACCGCCGUUCCCGGUCAGCUCAGAACUGGCCGGACCAGGGGAAUCCGACUGUCUAAUUAAAACAAGCUUGCGUGGCCCUCGC
This 2584-nucleotide non-coding RNA is filed under the name Oryza sativa Indica Group (long-grained rice). Its description in RNAcentral is "Eukaryotic large subunit ribosomal RNA". It matches the Rfam family "Eukaryotic large subunit ribosomal RNA", at positions 1 to 2174 of the family's 3401-position model. The record is from Rfam by way of RNAcentral. Lineage: Eukaryota; Viridiplantae; Streptophyta; Magnoliopsida; Poales; Poaceae.